UAUUUAUCAACGAAAGCAAAUAUUCAAAACUAAACUGUUUAUAGAAGACUAUGGAGUUUGAUAAAAGUAAAAUAAGUAUUCAUUGACACUCGCAGUUCAUGAAGAGUGUUUGGAAUUUAUCUGGGAAACUUUACGUUAUCGAAAAAAAAAAAGUUGCAUUUGGCACAGCUCGAGUUAAAAAUAGUUUGCACUAACAUCCAAUUGUUAUUUUCAUAGAGUUACGUAAAUUACGUUAAAUGUUUUGCUUGGAAUUUUUUUGAUUUAAAAUUUCCGGUUACGUAUCGAUUCGUAUUCAUCAGUCAUAUGGCUUUUCAAUAAUAUUAAUAUGUUAUAGUAAUGUUAAUUAUUUCUUAUUUAAAUUUUAUGCAUUUUUUUUUUAGUGGAUUUUUGUAAUGGUUUGGUUCAUUAUUUUUGCUUAAAAACAUUAAAAAAUUA
Hydra vulgaris (swiftwater hydra) is the source of this 435-nucleotide non-coding RNA. The record is from RefSeq and is a predicted model, not a curated record. NCBI's taxonomy places the organism in Eukaryota, Metazoa, Cnidaria, Hydrozoa, Anthoathecata, Hydridae.